Non-coding RNA from Lolium perenne, 1563 nucleotides. The record is from RefSeq and is a predicted model, not a curated record. Lineage: Eukaryota; Viridiplantae; Streptophyta; Magnoliopsida; Poales; Poaceae.
AGACAGGAAGCAAUGCAUGUAAAUCUGACAGCACGAGUGAGGACUGAGGAGUUUGGCAUAAGAGAAUUGAUAUGCGCUCUUGCAUAUGCCUAUGAUAAAAAUUGACGUCGCACAUGGACAAAAAUCCAAAGGUGCACACGGAGGAAACACGAACCACAAACGGAGCGAACAAACGAGGCCGGGACGGACCUUAUGUUUGGUGCAAGGUGCUUGCCUGCAUCAUCAUCAUCAGGGAUACAAAGUAUCAAGUCAGAAAUGGAAGAACCAUGGAUUUUGUUAUAUGCCACCAAGGAAGCGUCUACAGAAGGAAGACAACAGCUGGCAGCUUUGCCAAGCUCGCAGAAGUCAAUGUUAGGAUUAUGCAUGCUAGGGUGCUGAAACUUGAGAGGGGGCUCGCAGAAGAACGGAUAGGCGGAAGCUUCGAUGCCUUACAGAAUCCAGCUAGCUAAGGUAAUGCUACUAUGACAUGACUUAGUUUUACUUCUGAAACGGACAUGCCUUAGUUUUACUUUUGAAACAAAUAAGGCUGAAGCUUGGAUGCUUGGUUCGAACUGAUCGCCAGUGACGAGAUUAUUACUCCAUAUAGUUUCAGUACUAUCUACUGCGCUACGGUCCUUAAAUCUGUGAAAUCAUGAUGGUGUCUAGUUUCCCACAGCUGUUAGUGCUGCUGAAUUGUUCAGUAUUUACAGACCAGGGCAAAGUUUUUUGAAGCCACACAAUUAUUUUAGAUGCCAAGUACAUUUUUUUUGAUUCCAUGUGGCUUUGGAAUCUUGUUUUGGUAUUCAUGUCAUGUUGUCUCUGAAAACCGUUUUGAGCAGUCGGUGCUGUACCGUUCUUAUUGGUCACCUUAAAAUGUGAAUUACUGCCCAUUCUAUGGAAAAUAAAUGUAAAAUCAUUUUGUAGUACUUCAUCGACGGUCCCAUUAACAUUAUUGCUUGUGAGCCUUGUGUGGUUUUUAAGUUCCACUCUGCUUCAUGAAGUCACAAACCGUGUAACGUUAGAGCUAAGUUUUCCAGGUACCGUUUUCUUCCCAUUCUCGCACUAGCAAAGUAACGAGGAGACAAUGGAGAAAGUUGCUACAGUUCAUCCGCCAUUAAAGAUCGGGGAAACAAACUUGCAGAUCGAUCGGCCGGAUUUGGAAAUCCAUGUGGAUGCAUAUGGGCACCGGAGAGCUUCCUCCACUGGAGCUCAUGUGAUGAUAAUUUUUUUUUUGAGGGGGGUGAGAAUAUUUUCUGGGAGUAAGAGGGUUUGCAGGUGUUUGGGUAUUCCCGAUUGGGCCGUGGUCCGUGGACUGACCGGCCCAUGAAACAACAGUACGCGUUAAACUGGAUUUUUUUUUGUACCACAUCGCUAGGCUAGCACGGGACUUCGUGGUUUAAAAGCGGGGAUUCAGACAAGCUUCCUUGCCCCCACAGUAGGUGGGGGUACGGGCAUCGAGCCCGUUCUCUGUACAGGUACACCGGUGUACAACGUAUGUUUGUGUACAAAAUUGUAGUGUGAUGUAUGUAUACUGUACAAGCACCCAUGUAAAUUAAAAGAUGUAUAUGUAAAUUAUUUUUGAAA